ACUCCUGAAAAUCACGGUGACGUUAACGCUGUUACCGCUGCUUUUUUUAUAACUACAGGCUUCACUGAUCUCUUCCAUCAGUGGUCCGUAUACCUAUAGCCAAACACAGCUUCCACGACCUGUCCUUACAGAACAGCCGGUUUAGCUGAGCGUGAUGAAACUGCUGCCCUUGUUGUUGCUGCUGCUGCUGGUCCUUGUGUGUCUGGACGCAUCUAACGGGAAGUGGCGUGGGAGGAGAAGUUGGAGGAGAAUUACUAGGAGGAUGAAUAGGUCCCGGUGGAUAACAAGUACGACGAAGUUACAUGGAAGAGAUCUUGAGAGCGAAGACAUCAAACAGGGAAGGGAUAUUGACCAAUCGCGGGACGAGGUGUUAUUCAAUGCGAGAGAUGUAAAAGUGUUGAUGACAUCGGCUGAUAACAACAUGAUGAAGGUGAUACUUGUAGCGGCUCUGCUGGUGUGUCUGCUGGCGAUACACACUGAUGCAAUCUACAGCUACCGCCACUACCGCAACUACCGGAUCAGGAUGUACUGGAGCAGAACUACAUCCUGUAUCUAUCGAGCAGCAAGGCGGCUAUCUCGCUGUUACGGCGUGAGAUCCAGGUUCCAAUACUAUCAUGGAAAGAGAGGAAUCGAGAAUGCAGAUGAGAAUGCAGAUGAGAAUACUGAGCAGCCAGAGAACGAUGACCUAAUCAGCGCCAGAGAUGUCAUGGAGACAGUCAUGGAUGAACAAGGAGGGAAUGCUGGAUCCAAAAGCGGGCUUCGUCAGCUAACUGAAGCCUAGAAACACAGGCGGCACCGCGUAAGUAGGAUUCUGUCAUAUACAUGGCGAUUCACCAAACAUUCGAGGAUCCAUUCCCGAUGGUGAAAGACACUAUGAUCUUCCCUCGUACAUCGUCUGAGUGUCUCUGAUUCAGUUAACAUAAUAAAUCCUUGAAGCAGA
RNAcentral lists this unclassified non-coding RNA (940 nucleotides) under Haliotis rubra (blacklip abalone). RNAcentral describes it as "uncharacterized LOC124292501, transcript variant X1". Lineage: Eukaryota; Metazoa; Mollusca; Gastropoda; Lepetellida; Haliotidae. The record is from RNAcentral.